RNAcentral lists this long non-coding RNA (840 nucleotides) under Malus domestica (apple). RNAcentral describes it as "long non-coding RNA (MDOM_LNC005848)". The record is from RNAcentral. Lineage: Eukaryota; Viridiplantae; Streptophyta; Magnoliopsida; Rosales; Rosaceae.
CUUCUAGGUGGUUGAUAUAAUUCUUUAUUAAAACUACAUAGAGCAAUAUUGUUACAUGAGAUGUUGAAUUUGGAUUGUCUUGUUGUUAAAUCAUAUGUUGUGACUCAUUUUGAACUUAUUUCCCUUUUUGUUUCAUCAACUUGUCCAUAUGCUUAGUUACUUAGCUUGUUCUCAUAAAAGAGAAUGAUGGACAACUCCCAACAUAUAACUAUUUUAUGCUAGGUUGACGAAACCAACAUUUAAAGACUAUUCUUUAGAAUGUCACACAACAUAGAAUUUUAACGUUUGAAGAGCUUGAGUUCUUUAACAAUUAAAAUUACAAACUCUUAAUAAUAGUCAAGUACUAUUAUACUUUAGACAACUAUAAACCAAUCACAAUCAAGUUUAUAUCCAUUUUCACACCUCCCACUAUUUCUCAUGACUUUAAUGAGAAAUCAUUUCAUACAUUCAAAAUGUAUAAAAGUGGAGUACAUUGGUAGAAGACAUUGUGUAGUAGCUUUAAAACAUUUCAAGCUUAUUUGUUUCAAUCUUCACUAAGUUAAUGUCUUGUUAUUAAGUGACUAAAGUCUUUAAACAUUUUAUAGAUUUAGACACUUCUUUCUUGGUUUAAUCACUAACACAAUUGACAUUUUAAAACCUUUUAAAGAAUGCCCAAUUAUUUGUUCAAAACUACUAAUUGAAUCAAGAGUGAUCUUGAUCAUUGUGUUUCAAGUUAUGACCAUAUAAGAAACGUUUUUCUUAUUACUCACAUCAUUAUAAUGUGAUCUUCCUUUUCUUCAAGAAAGGAUACUCUAGACUUUUGUCAAUUCAUAUAGAACUCAUAGGUAGACAAAUGGAACC